This 301-nucleotide ribosomal RNA is filed under the name uncultured bacterium. RNAcentral's name for it is "partial 16S ribosomal RNA". It matches the Rfam family "Bacterial small subunit ribosomal RNA", at positions 509 to 809 of the family's 1533-position model. The record is from RNAcentral.
CAGUCGCCGCGGGAAUACGUAGGGGGCAAGCGUUAUCCGGAAUUACUGGGUGUAAAGGGAGCGUAGACGGUUAAACAAGUCUGAAGUGAAAUGCCGGGGCUCAACCCCGGAGCUGCUUUGGGAACUGUAGAACUGGAGUGUCGGAGGGGUAAGCGGAAUUCCCAGUGUAGCGGUGAAAUGCGUAGAUAUUGGGAGGAACACCGGCGGCGAAGGCGGCUUACUGGACGACAACUGACGUUGAGGCUCGAAGGCGUGGGUAGCAAACAGGAUUAGAUACCCCUGUAGUCCCUGUCUCUUAUAA